UCCUGCCCUGAUAUCCUAAAUCACAACUCGGAAGUGAUGGGUAUAUAAUUACGUUCCCAAAUCACAACAAUACUCAGUUACGGUAGAGAUGAUAGAAGAGUCAGGCCCGCCAGCUCCGAAGGUCCUGCGUCUGCUCUAUUUCGUCGGUGCCGGAAUUAUCUGCACAGCAGCAAUCAACAAGUGGAGAGAGUUGGAGAGGAAAUCGCUUCAACAAAAUCAAAAUCCCUCAAAUGCAGAGAACAAGGCUUUCAAAUGAUAUUUCGAGGUGUUGAUGGUUGGAAAUAUUGCUUCAUAUCUAAGCAUUGCUGGAUUACUACCACCUUGUUGGAUGUGCAAUUGGUAUUCUGUAUCAAAUAUGCAGGCAUAUUGUUAUGGGAUUUGGCUUCCUUUUUCGGAUUAAUCUUCCUUAUCAGUUGGUGUGCUGUGUUUAUGUGUUUGUCUGUGUGCUUGAGAGAUUUUGAACUGGCCCUUCAAUUAUUAGUCAUUUUUAGUGUAUGAUCACUUGUGUAAAAAAUGGAAUUCCUGUCUCUAUAUAUAAGAUUUAAGAUUCUAAGUUG
This is a long non-coding RNA of Tripterygium wilfordii, 557 nucleotides long. RefSeq lists it as uncharacterized. The record is from RefSeq and is a predicted model, not a curated record. NCBI's taxonomy places the organism in Eukaryota, Viridiplantae, Streptophyta, Magnoliopsida, Celastrales, Celastraceae. The transcript is spliced from 3 exons.